This is a long non-coding RNA of Uranotaenia lowii, 382 nucleotides long. RefSeq lists it as uncharacterized. NCBI's taxonomy places the organism in Eukaryota, Metazoa, Arthropoda, Insecta, Diptera, Culicidae. The transcript is spliced from 3 exons. The record is from RefSeq and is a predicted model, not a curated record.
GUUUGUCGUCGAUUCUGUUGACCGUUUUCCGUCGAUUUUGUUGAGCGUUUGCCGUCAAUUUUGUUUGCCGUCGUCAAUUUAGCAGCUCCCAAGUUCUUAAUAAGACGGCUGAGAUAACAUUGAACAAACAAACACACGAACAAUCAAAAUCAUAAGUUAAAAGAUGAGUAUCCAGGAUUACUAUGGUGGAGCAGCGGAAGAGCUGGACAUCGGACAUUUCGCAUACUGCGAGCUAACGCCGAUGGAUGAGGGCGAACAAUCCGACAGCGUUGCAAGUGAUCCUUCGCAAGACAUUUGGCAACCAGGAGAAGUAUCUCUGUUAAAACAGUUGUUCGAAUUCUUCAAAGAUAAAGGGCCAAAAGCAUAUCGAAAUAUAACCGCU